Long non-coding RNA from Gallus gallus (chicken), 1474 nucleotides. Lineage: Eukaryota; Metazoa; Chordata; Aves; Galliformes; Phasianidae. The record is from Ensembl.
UGACAAGGUGACAGUAUUUAUUUAUCCAGUUGUUAGCACAUAGACAAUACAUAAUCUGUUUGGUUUUUUUUGUAUGUGUUUGUGUGUGUGUGUGUUUAUUUGAAAAGGUGUGCUGGGAGGAAGGCUCUGAGUCUGCUUUGUCCUAGCUGCUGUUUUCUAGGUCAGGCAGAACUAGCACAAAAGAAAAGGUGAAGCUUUUCUGUGUACAGCCGAGCACCUGCAGCAAGCACAAGGAUGCAGGAUGGGCAGAAAAGGGAGAUAAUCCAGCAAACGGGGUGGUUUCAUUGCAAGCAGAAACUGGAAGAGUGGGGAAACGAAGGACGUAGAUAGACUGCCAGGCCUCACCAGUGAUGGAAGAAACUUCUGAGGCACACAAAGAGACUGUGAACAAUCUGCUAGAAACCAAGAAGUCAUUAAUUUACCACAAGCAAACACAAAAUAAAGGAUCCAUCCUCCAAAGAUGCAUAGUGGGCAAGAGCAGAUGAGUUUAUGAAUCCCUUUCAUGAGGGAUCUCUACAGUCUCACUUUAGGACAAUUAAAGACGAGAAACAGUUAAUUGCUAUGGUUUACAUUGUAAUCAACUUGGUUUUGAGAUUUAGUAUCGCUUUCAGCCUUCUUAGCAUCCUCACAAAGCUCACUUUAGGGAAGGUGCUGGAAGAUCCACCUCAAAGCUAUGACUAACAUAACCCUAUUGCAAAGCAAAACCUUGCCUGACAGCUAUUUGCAACAACUCUGUAAAUGCUUCCAAGCAACCUUUAGCUACCCACAAGUGACUAGCUCCUUGUCCAUGCUGCCAGCCCCCGGCCAGCCUAAAGUUUCCCCAGAAGCCAGAGGCCACGAAGCCACCAGCACAGGCAUCGGCAGGGCCAGUGAUUGCCAUGGGCCUGUGUGCCAAGUGGUGUGCUGCCAAACACGCCCAGACAGGCUGGCUGCAGACGGUCUGCAAACUGUCUGUGAGGCCGAGCGGGCCGUGCCUGUGGUCAUUCUGGACACAGCUGCCGGUUCCAGCAGGGUGCUUGCGUGUCACGUUCAGUCAGUCAGGCACCAGAAGCAUAUCAAAAUUAUGUUAAUUCUGUACAUCUCUGACGAAAGUCUUGAAAUACAACAGUUAAGCAUCUUGCAAACAGCAGUCUGACUCAUGGGCAAGAAAAUAGCUCGGGGCACGAGAGCGGGUUUCGCCGAGAGGGGUGACGCUAACAUGGUUGCCACAGCACUGCGAGGCUGGAGGGCAUCUUGCAGCUGCUCGUCCUGGCAUCCUUCUUCACUGCACGGCCGAAACUUCCCGUGAUUAACAGCACGAGUCGUUAGCUGGGCCGCUCUCCAGCGUCUGUAUGGGCUCUGCAGCUCCUUGGUAUUGCCCCUCGGCAGCGAUGGAGGCGCUCUGAGGGCACCAACCGCAGAUUAAAGUGAAUAGGAGCGAGAGGCUGCGGGCACCCCCAGGCUCCGAGGCCUCUGCCGCCGCAUCGCUCCCGCG